RNAcentral lists this ribosomal RNA (253 nucleotides) under uncultured bacterium. RNAcentral's name for it is "partial 16S ribosomal RNA". It matches the Rfam family "Bacterial small subunit ribosomal RNA", at positions 524 to 776 of the family's 1533-position model. The record is from RNAcentral.
UACGUAGGGGGCGAGCGUUAUCCGGAUUUACUGGGUGUAAAGGGAGUGUAGACGGCAGCGCAAGUCUGGAGUGAAAUGCCGGGGCUCAACCCCGGAAUUGCUUUGGAGACUGUGCAGCUAGAGUGCGGGAGAGGUAAGCGGAAUUCCUAGUGUAGCGGUGAAAUGCGUAGAUAUUAGGAGGAACACCAGUGGCGAAGGCGGCUUACUGGACCGUAACUGACGUUGAGGCUCGAAAGCGUGGGGAGCAAAUAGG